CCCUUGGAAGCACUGAGUUUACGUGUGUGCUUGACGGCCUUCUCGAGCAACGAUCUAGCACCAUAUAAAUUCAGUAUUUUCGAGU
RNAcentral lists this microRNA precursor (85 nucleotides) under Caenorhabditis japonica. RNAcentral's name for it is "mir-83 microRNA precursor family". It matches the Rfam family "mir-83 microRNA precursor family". The record is from Rfam by way of RNAcentral. Lineage: Eukaryota; Metazoa; Nematoda; Chromadorea; Rhabditida; Rhabditidae.